AACGAACGCUGGCGGCAUGCCUAACACAUGCAAGUCGAACGAGACCUUCGGGUCUAGUGGCGCACGGGUGCGUAACGCGUGGGAACCUGCCCUUAGGUUCGGAAUAACUCCCCGAAAGGGGUGCUAAUACCGGAUAAUGUCUUCGGACCAAAGAUUUAUCGCCUUUGGAUGGGCCCGCGUUGGAUUAGCUAGUUGGUAGGGUAAAAGCCUACCAAGGCGACGAUCCAUAGCUGGUCUGAGAGGAUGAUCAGCCACACUGGGACUGAGACACGGCCCAGACUCCUACGGGAGGCUGCAGUGGGGAAUAUUGGACAAUGGGCGAAAGCCUGAUCCAGCAAUGCCGCGUGAGUGAUGAAGGCCUUAGGGUUGUAAAGCUCUUUUACCCGAGAUGAUAAUGACAGUACCGGGAGAAUAAGCUCCGGCUAACUCCGUG
RNAcentral lists this ribosomal RNA (433 nucleotides) under uncultured bacterium. Its description in RNAcentral is "partial 16S ribosomal RNA". It matches the Rfam family "Bacterial small subunit ribosomal RNA", at positions 29 to 507 of the family's 1533-position model. The record is from RNAcentral.